AACGGUCAAUUAGUUCAGGUUCCUUUCAUGACUAGGACAAAGAAACGCGAACUUAGUGCUUUUGAUGGUUUCAAAGUGUUGAAACUUCCCUAUAAACAAGGUGGGACUCAAAGUAGCGGUGAACCUUCCUUUUCCAUGUACAUAUACCUCCCAAAUGCGAAAGAUGGGUUGCCGGCACUGGUAGAGAGAGCUGGGUCAGAAUCUGGAUUCCUUGAUCGCUAUAUUCCAUAUCAAGAAAUUAAUGCUGGAAUGUUCUGGAUUCCGAAAUUCAAAUUUGAAUAUGAAAUAGAACUGUCAGAAGCUUUGAAGAGUUUAGGGCUGGCCUCGCCCUUCGACCCAAACGUAGGUCUGAUGCAGAUAGUGGAUAAUUUUAGGCCACUCUUUGUUUCGAAGAUAUAUCAUAAAUCCUUUAUUGAAGUAGAUGAAAGUGGAACUGAAGCUGCUGCUGCAACCGUUGCUGUCAUGCUUCUUGGAGGUUUUGCACCUUCAAGGCAGGAGUUUCGGAUUGACUUUGUUGCUGACCACCCAUUCUUGUAUGUCAUUAGAGAAGAUAAAACAGGAAUUGUGCAGUUUAUUGGUCAAGUACUGAAUCCAUCAGCUACUUGAACUGCUUCUAGCAAAGCUGUAUACAGGUACCUAAUCCUUCAGAAACUUAGAACUGCUGUUAAGC
Molecule: long non-coding RNA, 670 nt
Filed under: Daucus carota (carrot)
Lineage: Eukaryota; Viridiplantae; Streptophyta; Magnoliopsida; Apiales; Apiaceae
Description: long non-coding RNA (DCAR_LNC000114)
Source: RNAcentral